Tripterygium wilfordii is the source of this 638-nucleotide long non-coding RNA. RefSeq lists it as uncharacterized. Lineage: Eukaryota; Viridiplantae; Streptophyta; Magnoliopsida; Celastrales; Celastraceae. The transcript has 2 exons. The record is from RefSeq and is a predicted model, not a curated record.
CUAACUCAACCUCAUUUGCUUAUAAAUAUACUCUACAUUUUGGGAUCCAUUGAAACACAGAAGAACAACACACACAGAGACUGAAUCACAGAGCUCCAUCAAAGCCCUAGUGACCCCAUAAUCAUCGAAUCAAUGGCAAGGCCGAAUCCACGAGGAAUCGAUGAACCGGGACGGCGUCCGGUACAGAGAAAUAGUGUCCGUUCAGUCAGGGUCACAACAAGGGGAUUUGUUUUUAGUUCAGAGAGUAUUGUUGGUAGUUUAUCUGUUGAACAAGCUGAUACCAAAACUGCAGCAGCAGAUCAUGUUAUUUCUGCUACUACCACCACUACUGCUGCAACUACUGUUGUUGGCUGUACUACUACUGAAUAGUUUACUUUGUUGAAGUAGAGUUGAUGAUAUAUAUAUUACAAUUUCCAAUUUUAAUUUCUUCCCAUAUAUUUGUUUUGAAGAAUUAGUGUUGGUAGGAUACAAUAUGUAGAGUUGUUUAGCCAGUAUUUAAUUUUCUGUAAUUACAGUAGAGAGAAUAUAGAGAAUUGUGUUGAUUGUUAGUUAGGCCUACGCAAACUCAUGAAAAAAGAGAGUAGAAUAGAGCUGAUAAAGUGUGAAAAAUACAUUAUUAUUGGACUUCUUAAGUCAAA